GUUCCGCUCAAGUUCCUCCGCCGCGACCUCAGGACAGGCCGAAGAGGCGCGCACUACUCACGUGUCUUCCAAGUGCUGCUCCAAGGUCGCCUCCAUCCCACCCACCGACCACUCCGGCUCAGAACCCAGCGGCACGGCACGUCCUUCUCCACCACAGGCCUCAGUCACUUGACGCGAGCGGGGCGUGGACCGUAACGGCGCCUCCAAAGGGACAAAAUUGAUCACGGUGCAACGUCCGCGUUCUUUACUGGAAAACAUCACUGCGCUUCCGUCGCACAGAGCCUGACGAAGGCUUGGGCUCCCCGCGCGGUGACCGUCGAGGUGACCUGCACCUGGCUCCAUGGCGGAACCGGCCGGCACGGAUUAUUCCCCUCUCGGGAGAGGUCUGCAGCCGGGCCUCAGUGCUUCAGUUCGUGGCCUGGCAUUUUGUGAAGAGUGUCUUCAUCUCUGCAUCCCUAGUGCAACAGAGCAUGACAAAAAUUCAACAAAUAUUUAUUGAAGAGUCUUGAUGUCUUUUGGGAAAGGAACUCUAUGGUUACCUUUACUCUAAGGCAUUGUGAAGACCCUGUUUCUCUAGCUGUGCAGCUGCAAGGUCACUAGGCAGAUAAACUCAAGCCAUAAAACAUGUUUUUCCUUGAAAAAUUAGAUGGGUGUUACUGAUUCUUACCUCAGAGAAGAGAAUGUCAUGGAGACAAAAUGACCUGCUUAGAGUUCUGCACCCCCCAGCAUGGAGAGCAGAGCGCAAAGAUUUCUUCCGGACUCCCACAUUCCCCUUGGAAUCCAAGAACUGGUCUACUGUCACAACACUUUAGUACCCUCUUCUCCCAAGGAGGCAGCAGAAACUGGGGUAAUCACAACGGUCAACAGCAGCAAAGGCAGCACUUUCUGAUUUACUUGACUGCUAUGGAUGCCACCUCUCUCCACGCCUCAGUUUAAUAUCUCCUGCAAGCCCCCUAUUCAAGACAUCCCACCCUUUUAAACUUAAGCCAAUGUGUAACCUCCUGGCAAUCAAUUUUGCAAUUUAUGAUUUUGCCUGUAGCUUCUGCUGUUCUGAAAUUUAUUCCUGCCUCUAAAAAUCCUUGCCGGCAAGCCACUGGGGAGGCUAGGUUUUGAGCACUUAGCUGUCUGGUCUUCCUUACUUAGUGCUCUGCAAUAAACACCUUCC
RNAcentral lists this long non-coding RNA (1165 nucleotides) under Homo sapiens (human). RNAcentral describes it as "PREDICTED lncRNA (TCONS_00006461)". Lineage: Eukaryota; Metazoa; Chordata; Mammalia; Primates; Hominidae. The record is from RNAcentral.